UCUUCGGAUCGUAAAACUCUGUUAUUAGGGAAGAACAAAUGUGUAAGUAACUAUGCACGUCUUGACGGUACCUAAUCAGAAAGCCACGGCUAACUACGUGCCAGCAGCCGCGGUAAUACGUAGGUGGCAAGCGUUAUCCGGAAUUAUUGGGCGUAAAGCGCGCGUAGGCGGUUUUUUAAGUCUGAUGUGAAAGCCCACGGCUCAACCGUGGAGGGUCAUUGGAAACUGGAAAACUUGAGUGCAGAAGAGGAAAGUGGAAUUCCAUGUGUAGCGGUGAAAUGCGCAGAGAUAUGGAGGAACACCAGUGGCGAAGGCGACUUUCUGGUCUGUAACUGACGCUGAUGUGCGAAAGCGUGGGGAUCAAACAGGAUUAGAUACCCUGGUAGUCCACGCCGUAAACGAUGAGUGCUAAGUGUUAAGGGGGUUUCCGCCCCUUAGUGCUGCAGCUAACGCAUUAAGCACUCCGCCCGGGGGAGUACGACCGCAAGGUUGAAACUCAAAGGAAUUGACGGGGACCCGCACAAGCGGUGGAACCUGGGGGUUUAAUUCGAAGCAACGCGAAGAACCUUACCAAAUCUUGACAUCCUCUGACCCCUCUAGAAGAUAGAGUUUUCCCCUUCGGGGGACAGAGUGACAGGUGGUGGCAUGGUUGUCGUCAGCUCGUGUCGUGAGAUGUUUGGGUUAAGUCCCGCAACGAGCGCAACCCUUAAGCUUAGUUGCCAUCAUUAAGUUGGGCACUCUAAGUUGACUGCCGGUGACAA
Molecule: ribosomal RNA, 761 nt
Filed under: Staphylococcus sp.
Lineage: Bacteria; Bacillati; Bacillota; Bacilli; Caryophanales; Staphylococcaceae
Description: bacterial SSU rRNA
Rfam family: Bacterial small subunit ribosomal RNA
Source: RNAcentral